RNAcentral lists this non-coding RNA (87 nucleotides) under Paenibacillus odorifer. RNAcentral describes it as "SAM riboswitch (S box leader)". It matches the Rfam family "SAM riboswitch aptamer (S box leader)", at positions 2 to 90 of the family's 108-position model. From Rfam's summary of the family: The SAM riboswitch is found upstream of a number of genes which code for proteins involved in methionine or cysteine biosynthesis in Gram-positive bacteria. The record is from RNAcentral. Lineage: Bacteria; Bacillati; Bacillota; Bacilli; Caryophanales; Paenibacillaceae.
UCUUAUCAAGAGCAGGUGGAGGGACUAGCCCUAUGAAACCCGGCAACCGGCGUGUGAACGCACGGUGCUAAUUCUUGCGGAACUUUG